UUUUCCGGUUGAUCCCGCCGGAGGCCAUUGCUAUCGGAGUCCGAUUUAGCCAUGCUAGUUGCACGAGUUUAGACUCGUAGCAUAUAGCUCAGUAACACGUGGCCAAACUACCCUACAGACCGCGAUAACCUCGGGAAACUGAGGCCAAUAGCGGAUAUCACUCUCAGACUGGAGUGUCGAGAGUGAGAAACGUUCCGGCGCUGUAGGAUGUGGCUGCGGCCGAUUAGGUAGAUGGUGGGGUAACGGCCCACCAUGCCGAUAAUCGGUACAGGUUGUGAGAGCAAGAGCCUGGAGACGGUAUCUGAGACAAGAUACCGGGCCCUACGGGGCGCAGCAGGCGCGAAACCUUUACACUGCACGACAGUGCGAUAGGGGGACUCCGAGUGUGAGGGCAUAUAGCCCUCGCUUUUCUGAACCGUAAGGUGGUUCAGGAACAAGGACUGGGCAAGACCGGCGCCAGCCGCCGCGGUAAUACCGGCAGUCCAAGUGAUGGCCGAUAUUAUUGGGCCUAAAGCGUCCGUAGCUUGCUGUGUAAGUCCAUUGGGAAAUCGACCAGCUCAACUGGUCGGCGUCCGGUGGAAACUACACAGCUUGGGGCCGAGAGACUCAACGGGUACGUCCGGGGUAGGAGUGAAAUCCUGUAAUCCUGGACGGACCACCAAUGGGGAAACCACGUUGAGAGACCGGACCCGACAGUGAGGGACGAAAGCCAGGGUCUCGAACCGGAUUAGAUACCCGGGUAGUCCUGGCUGUAAACAAUGCUCGCUAGGUAUGUCACGCGCCAUGAGCACGUGAUGUGCCGUAGUGAAGACGAUAAGCGAGCCGCCUGGGAAGUACGUCCGCAAGGAUGAAACUUAAAGGAAUUGGCGGGGGAGCACCACAACCGGAGGAGCCUGCGGUUUAAUUGGACUCAACGCCGGACAUCUCACCGGUCCCGACAGUAGUAAUGACAGACAGGUUGACGACUUUACUCGACGCUACUGAGAGGAGGUGCAUGGCCGCCGUCAGCUCGUACCGUGAGGCGUCCUGUUAAGUCAGGCAACGAGC
This 1047-nucleotide ribosomal RNA is filed under the name uncultured haloarchaeon. RNAcentral's name for it is "bacterial SSU rRNA". It matches the Rfam family "Archaeal small subunit ribosomal RNA", at positions 1 to 1046 of the family's 1478-position model. Lineage: Archaea; Methanobacteriati; Methanobacteriota; Halobacteria; Halobacteriales; Halobacteriaceae. The record is from RNAcentral.